This 425-nucleotide ribosomal RNA is filed under the name uncultured bacterium. Its description in RNAcentral is "partial 16S ribosomal RNA". It matches the Rfam family "Bacterial small subunit ribosomal RNA", at positions 354 to 796 of the family's 1533-position model. The record is from RNAcentral.
GUGGGGAAUAUUGGACAAUGGGCGAAAGCCUGAUCCAGCCAUGCCGCGUGAGUGAUGAAGGCCUUCGGGUUGUAAAGCUCUUUAGCCGAUGAUUAUAAUGACUGUAGUCGGAAAAUAAGCCCCGGCUAACUUCGUGCCAGCAGCCGCGGUAAUACGAAGGGGGCGAGCGUUAUUCGGAAUCACUGGGCGUAAAGCGUGCGUAGGCGGCUUUGCAAGUUGGGAGUGAAAGCCCAGGGCUCAACCCUGGAAUUGCUCUCAAAACUGCAAGGCUCGAAUUCGGGAGAGGAUAGCGGAAUUGUCAGUGUAGCAGUGAAAUGCGUAGAUAUUGACAGGAACACCAGUGGCGUAAGCGGCUAUCUGGACCGAUAUUGACGCUGAGGCACGAAAGCGUGGGGAUCAAACAGGAUUAGAAACCCUGGUAGUCC